AGGCAGCUGGAUGGCUCAGUGAAUUGAGAGUCAGGCCCAGAGAUGGGAGGUCCUGGGUUCAAAUAUGGCCUCAGACACUUCCUGCUGUGUGACCCUGGGCAAGUCACUUAACCCCCAUUGCCUACCCUUACUGCUUCUCUGUCUUAGAACCAAUAUUCAAUAUUGAUUCUAAGACAGAAGGUAAGGGUUAAAAAAAUUCUAUUCCUCUGGGAGAACACUAUAUACAAUAAUAGCAAUAUUGGAUGAUGAUUAUCUAUGAAAAUGUGACCACUCUCAGCAAUUCAUUGAUCUGGGACAAUCCUAAAAGACUUAUGACAGGGAAAGCUAUCCACCUCCAGAGAAAGAACUAUUGGAGUUGUCUUUCACAUCAGUAUAUUUUUAGUUUUAUUUGGGGGUUUUGGUUACAUUUGAGUUUUCUCUUACAACAAUGACCAAUAUAUAAGUGUGUUUUUCAUGACAAUAAAAAGGAAAAAAAUAAUACAAAUAAAAAUAAUGUUUUUUCCAUGCACUAAUCCUAAAGGUUUACAAUUCUGUUUUCCCUGAUACUGGUUAAUAAAAAGCAUCGGUUCCCUGUAGCCUUUCCAAAAAUGUGUGGUUGUAUGUUUAGUUUGGGUUUGGAGAUUUUUUAUUUUUUGAGAUCUGCUUGUUUACAUUUGCUAGCACACUCCUGGCACAGUUCCAGCAGUUCAGGAAUAGAAGCAAAUAGUGGGUGUGACCCGGGGUAGAGGACUGGCAUGGUGUGUGGCAUCGGCAAAGAACCAGAGAAAUGAGGCAUUCAGCAAUGGAAGACAGCAGUAAUUCACACUUAAACCGGUUAGCUGUAGGGUCAAGACUGAAGUGAGGCCAGAGAUGGGGAGAGGAGAACAGAAACUAACCCAGUCCAUUACCUUCCUUUCCAGAAAUGAACACAAUUCAUCAGGCGUCCUCUGGAAUGAUGUCUGGUCAUUGGGUCAUCAGUGGAUAGAGUGCCAGGCCUGGAGACAGGAGGUCUUUGGUUCAAAUCUGGCCUCAGAUACCCUAGGCAAUUCACUCAACUCCAAUUAACUAGCCCUGACUGCUCUUCUGCCAUGGAACUAAGACCUAGUGUUGAUGCUACGAUGGAAGGUAAGCGUUUAAAAAAAAAAAGUGAUAAUAUGAUAAUAUGCUGCAAUCUACUUACAUUCAUCGUCCUUGCCAUUUCGGUUCUUAUGAGAGUGUGGUUUCCAUAAUUGCAGUCACAUUGCUCCACCAAAAAUAUAUGGCCACUAAAAAUAGACAUUUUUGUAGUAGCAAGCAGCUUGAGACCAUUAAAAGUAUUGUAUAACUUUAGAAAAUGCAACCCAGUCUGUUUCUCCCACCAAGUUAAUUACAACAGUUCAUUGUCCCUAUGAAUCUCUUGUACAAAAUACCUACAGCCCUAUUCAAUGGGCUAGCUGACCAACUACGAGUCAUUAUCUAGGUGAUAAAUGAUUCUCAUAUACUCUAUUUUUACAGGGUAUG
Molecule: long non-coding RNA, 1479 nt
Filed under: Monodelphis domestica (gray short-tailed opossum)
Lineage: Eukaryota; Metazoa; Chordata; Mammalia; Didelphimorphia; Didelphidae
Description: lncRNA (ENSMODG00000049247.1)
Source: RNAcentral